Molecule: ribosomal RNA, 234 nt
Filed under: Triticum aestivum (bread wheat)
Lineage: Eukaryota; Viridiplantae; Streptophyta; Magnoliopsida; Poales; Poaceae
Description: partial small subunit ribosomal RNA
Source: RNAcentral
AUGAGCACAGGGGACCUCGCCGCCAAUAUGUUCUUGUGAGCAAUCAAGGACUCACCGGACACGAUAAACUCAACGUCCGCCGCUGUGCCGCUCUGGAGCAGCUCGCCGAGGAGCUGGUGCAAGCCCGAGGACGGCACGACGGGCAAUGGUUAGUCAUCUCGGAUUGUCACUUCGGCCAGGUCCUUGAGCACCGUGACCGUGCAUUGAACGGUGAAAGAGUCGUCCUUGAGAUAG